AUUGAACGCUGGCGGCAUGCUUUACACAUGCAAGUCGAACGGCAGCGCGGGCUUCGGCCUGGCGGCGAGUGGCGAACGGGUGAGUAAUACAUCGGAACGUGCCCAGUCGUGGGGGAUAGCUCGGCGACAGCCGGAUUAAUACCGCAUACGACCUGAGGGUGAAAGCGGGGGAUCUUCGGACCUCGCGCUAUUUGAGCGGCCGAUGGCAGAUUAGCUAGUUGGUGGGGUAAAGGCCUACCAAGGCGACGAUCUGUAGCUGGUCUGAGAGGCCGACCAGCCACACUGGGACUGAGACACGGCCCAGACUCCUACGGGAGGCAGCAGUGGGGAAUUUUGGACAAUGGGCGAAAGCCUGAUCCAGCAAUGCCGCGUGUGUGAUGAAGGCCUUCGGGUUGUAAAGCACUUUUGGCGGGAACGAAAAGGACUGUGCCAAUACCACGGUUCGAUGACGGUACCCGCAGAAUAAGCACCGGCUAACUACGUG
This 484-nucleotide ribosomal RNA is filed under the name uncultured bacterium. RNAcentral describes it as "partial 16S ribosomal RNA". It matches the Rfam family "Bacterial small subunit ribosomal RNA", at positions 29 to 507 of the family's 1533-position model. The record is from RNAcentral.